AGACCCGAAACCCGGUGAUCUAGCCAUGGGCAGGUUGAAGGUUGGGUAACACUAACUGGAGGACCGAACCGACUAAUGUUGAAAAAUUAGCGGAUGACCUGUGGCUGGGGGUGAAAGGCCAAUCAAACCGGGAGAUAGCUGGUUCUCCCCGAAAGCUAUUUAGGUAGCGCCUCGUGAAUUCAUCUCCGGGGGUAGAGCACUGUUUCGGCUAGGGGGCCAUCCCGGCUUACCAACCCGAUGCAAACUGCGAAUACCGGAGAAUGUUAUCACGGGAGACACACGGCGGGUGCUAACGUCCGUCGUGAAGAGGGAAACAACCCAGACCGCCAGCUAAGGUCCCAAAGUCAUGGUUAAGUGGGAAACGAUGUGGGAAGGCCCAGACAGCCAGGAUGUUGGCUUAGAAGCAGCCAUCAUUUAAAGAAAGCGUAAUAGCUCACUGGUCGAGUCGGCCUGCGCGGAAGAUGUAACGGGGCUAAACCAUGCACCGAAGCUGCGGCAGCGACGCUUAUGCGUUGUUGGGUAGGGGAGCGUUCUGUAAGCCUGUGAAGGUGGCCUGUGAG
RNAcentral lists this ribosomal RNA (560 nucleotides) under Salmonella enterica subsp. enterica. RNAcentral's name for it is "partial 23S ribosomal RNA". It matches the Rfam family "Bacterial large subunit ribosomal RNA", at positions 711 to 1267 of the family's 2925-position model. The record is from RNAcentral. RNAcentral also lists the same sequence under 1 other name. Lineage: Bacteria; Pseudomonadati; Pseudomonadota; Gammaproteobacteria; Enterobacterales; Enterobacteriaceae.